RNAcentral lists this long non-coding RNA (22815 nucleotides) under Nicotiana benthamiana. RNAcentral's name for it is "long non-coding RNA (NBEN_LNC013520)". Lineage: Eukaryota; Viridiplantae; Streptophyta; Magnoliopsida; Solanales; Solanaceae. The record is from RNAcentral.
AACAACCUUGGCUUGAAUCCAAACUCGAACUAUUUGAGGUUGUACGGACCUUAAUCGGGGUGUUCUCAAUUGAGAGCACCUAGAUUAAGGUCUAUUAGACCUCAAUCUCCUAUUGAUUUUUAACCGAACCUCAAUUUUGGAUUUCUAGGGUUCACGCGGAUGAUUUGGGAAUUUGGGUUUUCUGGUUGGAUUCGAUUCAAAUCAAUGAUGAUUUGGUGAUUAGGAAGGUUAGGGGGUGCCGUGGUGUGAAUUUGGAAAGGAUUGGGGGUAAGUUUCCAUUUGGCUCGAAUCUUCAAGUAAAGAUUUGAGAUGCUCUGAAAAGAUUCGAGCAAAAUGGUUUGCAGCUCCAUGUUUGGGGUGGCUAGACGGUCACAGGGUGUUAGUUUGGGAUUCAUUGGUCUGGGUCUGGUUUUGACUCAGAUCUUCAAAUAAAGAUUCGAGAUAUUUGGGGAGGAUUCGAAGAGAAAGGGUUAUGGAUUCAUGGAGGGGAUGGUCUGGGGAUUCAGGUGUGUUAAUUUGGAGGUGGUCGGAUUUCAGGCCGCCGGGAUUAAUGGCGGAGUAUAAGGGGGCGGAGCUAGGGUUUAGUGAGGGAGGGGACUGUUUCUGAGAGAGACGAUGAACAAGGAGGUCUGGUUUGGGAGGGAGGCUGGGUUGAGACAAAGGUUAUAUAGGGAGGGAAGUGAUUUGAUCCUGGCCGUUGGAUCAAACAUGAUCAAUAGCUUGGAUCCUUUCAUUUAAGGGGACGACGUCAUUUGGUUAUACUUUUGAGACUGGAUUGGUUUCAGAUGGGAACGGGUAGGGUAUAGAUGAAAGCUUGAGGCCAUUGGAUAAAGUGGCAUGAACGACUUGGAUUAGAUGCACUAAAACAGCGUCGUUUCGUUUAAUGAACGAACUUAACUGGAGCGUUAGAUAGGAUUGAUCAACGGUCCAGAUGAAAGGCAUAGAAACGACGUCGUUUCAUUGUCUGUGAGACUAAGUUGAAGUGGACCGAGUCAGUAAUAGAUUGGGCUUGGAUUUGGGGCUGUUUUUGGACGGCCCAAAUCAAUUUUGUCUCUUAUUUUUCUCCCUUCUUUUCUUUUCCUUUAUUUUUUCUAAUUAAAAAAUUCCUAAUUAAUUUAUAACAUCAAAAAUUUAAAUUACAAAUAUUAACUAUCCUUUAACAACAAUUAACACACAAGUUAAAAUAUUUAAUUAAAAAUAAAAUAACACAAUGGCACAUUUAAAUGGCAAAAAUAAAUAAAUGCAUAUUUUUGUGAUUUCUAUUUUUAAAAAACCAAAUUAUACACAAUGACACACUUAAAUGGAAAAAAUAAAAUAAAUACAUAUUUUUGUGAUUUUUUUUUUUUAAAAAAAACCAAAUUAUGGUUUAAAUAAUUCCUAAUUCACAAUUAAAUCCUAAAUAUGCAUGCAAAAUGUAUUUUUGUAUUUUUAUUAAUUUAGACAAGAUAAAUAUUCACAACAAAAAAUAUAAAUAAUAUUCUAAAAAUUGUAGACUAAAGAAUUUUAUUUUAUGUUUUUGAUUUCUUUUGGAGUAAUUUUCGUGAAGCAAAAAUCACGUGCUCACAGCUGCCCCUCUNNNNNNNNNNNNNNNNNNNNNNNNNNNNNNNNNNNNNNNNNNNNNNNNNNNNNNNNNNNNNNNNNNNNNNNNNNNNNNNNNNNNNNNNNNNNNNNNNNNNNNNNNCCCCAAAACACGAAGAGUUUUCGUGCAAAUAUAAAGUGAGCGGAUACGAGCGAUUUUUGCCUGUUGGAAUACUCUAUGUGAAGCAUUUUUUGAAAAGAUUUAUCCGAACCUUUGCUUCGAAGGUUUCCGACAUAUCCCUGGCUAAAAAGGAAUCAUGUUAAUGUAGUUCGGGAAGUUUUGGUGGCUGGGACUACCAUGGGACUGGGAUUUUGCUGUUACUGUUGCUGCAUGCAGUUGCUACUGUUUACUGGUCUCCUUAUUACACCGUACUAAUAAGAAAAUAAGAAGUUAAGCUAAAUUACGGAUCAUAAGAUCUUAUCUAUCUUUCACGUGUCAUUGGUGCCUUGCUUUUUUGUUGACUUGUGUUUCUCCCGGUGCUUCUCUCUUCCAAAAACUGUUGGGGAUGAUAUCGACCUUUUGCUUUCCUGAAGCCAAGUUUUAUCAUCUCGUCGCAUCUGCUGGGAUACUUUUUCUUUAAUUAAAGCUUGUUAUGCUGGGGAUUCUUGUUGCAACCCUUGGUAUUAUUGACUUCUGAUUUGAUCUUAAAAUGUAUUCCUCUAUUUUGCAGGCGGGCUCCUGACUGCGAUAACUUGCAAUCAAUACCUCAGUUCUACAGCGGGCUCCCGAUUGCGAAAUCUUGAAAUUAACACCUCAGUUCUACGGGCGGGCUCCCGAUUGCAAAUAGCUUGAAAUUAACACCUCCUUUUCUACGGGUGGGCUCCCAACUACAACAACUUGAAAUUAACACCUCCGUUCUACGGGCGGGCUCCCGACUGCAAUAACUUGAAAUUGACACCUCCGUUCUACGGGCGGGCUCCCGACUGCAAUAACUUGAAAUUAACACCUCCGUUCUACGGGCGGGAUCCCGACUGCAAUGACUUAAACAUAACAACCUCCAUUCUACAUACGGGCUCCUGACUUCAUCAAUAACUUUAAAAUUUCACAAUCUCCAUUCUACAGGUGGGCUCCUGACUUCUUCAAUUUAAAAACAACAACCUCCGUUCUAAUAGGCAGGCUCCUGACUUCUACUUCAACUAAAAUAUAACAACCUCCUUCUACAGGUGGGCUCCUAACUUCUUCAAUUUAAAAACAACAACCUCCAUUCUAACAGGUGGGCUCCUAAUUUCAACUUCGACUUAAAACAUAACAACCUCCAUUCUACACGCAGGCUCAUGACUUCUUCAAUUUAAAAACAACAACCUUCGUUCUUACAGGUGGGCUCCUGAUUUCAACUUCGAUUUAAAACAUAACAACCUCCAUUCUACAGGCAGGCUCCUGACUUCUUCAAUUUAGAAAUAACAACCUCCGUUCUAACAGGAGGGCUCCUGAUAUCAACUUCGACUUAAAACAUAACAACCUCCAUUUUACAGGCGGGCUCCUGACUUCUUCAAUUUAAAAACAACAACCUCCGUUCUAACAGGGGGGCUCCUAAUUUCAACUUCGACUUAAAACAUAACAACCUUCAUUCUACAGGCGGGCUCCUGAUUUCCAUAACUUGAGAUAAAAAUAACAACCUCUGUUUCAAUAAGCGGGCUCCUGAUUUCUUCAUCAACUUGAAAUGGGUUCUAUCUUUCUUUGAAAUCUUCUGGGGAUAAUGCUUGCUGGGUAAUUAUCCUCCUUAUUUAAAACUUGUUAUUUUCCUUUUUUUUCAAUGGUGGGCAUGAUACCGAUUCAAGGACCACUACCCUUAAAACUUAGGCUAUCUUGCUUAUGCCAAGAUUGAUUUCUUGUAUUGCCUUCUCCCCUAAACUGCUAGUGAUUCCACUUCCUUCAAAAUUGUUUUCCUUUAUAACUUGCAUUGAUUUUCUCGUAGCUCCGAGAAAAUUUUCGACUGUGGGAGAAAAUUUUCUGCCAUAGUUCUGGCGCUCUUUCUUUCUGCCAACAUCAUCAUUUCAUUUUCCUGUUUCAAAUCAAAGAAAAAUUUGUUAGUUUUAAAAAUGUGGCGAGUGAUUAUGUCGCUCCUACUGUGAAUGAUUGUUCCUUUCCGUUGUCCUGUCUUGCGUUCCCACAACUGACUGGGGAUGACGUCAUUUACUGGGGAUGGUUUGUUCAUUUAUCCCUUCCCAUUCCGUGUUUCAAAACUUGCUGGGAUUAUUUUGCUGAAGAUGAAUUUCCCUUUCUUCCUUCCCCAUUCUGUGUGGUCCGACCACCUCGAACUUGGUCGAUAAGAGAUCAGAGUUCUUCUAGGGAUACUUUUGGAACUUGGCCCAGAAUUUCCUCCACAUGCCAUCUUUCGAUUCUUCUCCACACUUUCCUUGACCUUUUAACUCAAUACAUUAUUCAGCCUUGCAACAAGUGUCCUUUGCCUUAUCGCCUUUUCUUUGGCCUUUCCUCUUCAUAUUUUGCUUUGUACCAUUUGACAACUGGUAGUAAGCUCUGAAAUAACUUUCUCAAAACAAAUUUCUAGAAAAGACUUUUAUCCAAAGGAAAGAAAAGAUAGAAAAAGAGAAAAAUUUUCCGAACAAAUGCUGGGAAAAGAAAAAGGAACUGGCAUAACCGAUCCCAACGAUCAUGUCGUGCAUUCCGGAUUAAUCAACCCAGUCUAUUUUUAUUAAUCAAUCUUUUUGAUGUCUUUACUUGCUGGGGAUAAACAGGUACCUAAUUCUUCGCAAAGUGCGGAUCCUUUUCGUCAAUCUCAUCUCGUCGCCUCAUAAUGCCCUUCGAGGGGUUUUCAAUAAUAAGACUCUCUCAUUUCUCUCAACUCCCGCCGCCUUAUGGUGCCUGUGAAGGUUUUCACCGAUAAGACUCUCUCAUUUUCUUAUCUCACCUUACGUCGCCUUAUGGUGCCCGUGAAUGUUUUUACCGAUAAGACUCUCUCAUUUUGCUUCUCUCAACUAGGGAUUGGAGUGUUGCCGGUAAGAUUCUCACUGCCGAGAAUUCUUAUGGCUAUCAAUUCUCUCAGCGCAUGACCCUCAUUUUGUCGGAGCCCAGUGUGUUUUUCUCAGCUUUCAUUUGCCUGCCUUGGAACUUAUCGAAUGCUGAUCAGGAAGUCUUUUUUGGACAUCAAUGUGGUUUUAUAUGGGGUUUAAUAGACAAGGAAAUAGAAUUCAAAAUAACUUGACAGGCGAAACAUUACAACUCUUAAAAUCAAAACUCUUUUUCAAAAUUAAAAACAAAACUUCUGCCCCAUACUGCUUGGGGAAUUCUUGAUUUUUGUUACAUCAUGACCGAGCCGUGAGGCGCCUACGUAUCCUCUUUGAGGAAUCAGGUCGAAUGUAGUUCACAAUCCUUUGUUUUUCUUGUGACUUUCCUUUUUACUUUUAUUAUUACUCUCUUUUUCAUUUUUUGUUUUCGUUAAGGAUUUCAAGAGAGGGGUACGAAAGAAUAAGUAAGGCUCAAAGGGGUAAAGCAAAGGUUAGAAGUGGUUGAGUAGAAGAAAGAAUUGCCUCCGUAAUUUCAUUAUUUGAUAAACACCAAGUACAAACAAGCAAAUAAACAAACCCAAAUUAUAAUCAACAAAUUACACAUAAUAUCUCUUAACUGCAUCAGAAUUGAUAGCCAUGUCGAUGUAUCUUCCUUCGACAUCUUCCAGACACAAAGCGCCAUUGGAUAACACUCGGGUCACAAUAUACGACCCCUGCCAAUUCUGGGCGAAAUUGCCUUUUGCCUCGAUCUGAUAUGGUAGGAUCCGUUUCAAUACUUGCUGCCUACUUCAAAUUUCCUGGGGAGCACCUUCUUAUUGUAUGCUCUUGGCAUUCACAUUUAAUACAGUUGGCCAUGACAUAUUGCUGCCAAUCAUUUUUCAUCAAUUAAGCUUAGCUGCUCUACUCGGGCUUUGACCCAUUCAUCAUCAUCGAUCCCGACCUCAGCGACAAUUCAAAGGGAUGGAAUUUCAACUUCUGCUGGUAUUACUGCUUCACUUCCGUAUACCAACAAGUAAGGAGUUGCACCAACUGAAGUCCGGACAGUAGUGCAAUAACCCAACAAUGCAAAUGGCAACUUCUCAUGCCAUUGUCUAGACCCUUCUACCAUCUUCCUCAGUAUCUUCUAUAUGUUCUUGUUAGCUGCUUCAACUAUUUGCCUUGGGACGAUAUGGGGUGGAAUUACGGUGUGUAGUCUUGAACUGUUGACAUACUUCUUUCAUCAAACUACUGUUAAGAUUAGCACCAUUAUCCGUGAUGAUCACCUUUAGGAUCCCAAAUCUACAGAUGAUAUGGGAAUGAACAAAAUCCACCACUGCCUUAUUGGUUACCGACUUGAAAAAUCCCAAAUCUACAGAUGAUAUGGGAAUGCACGAAAUCCACCACUGCCUUCUUGGUUAUUGACAAAAUCUUGUCCUCAACCCAUUUUAUGAAAUAAUCAAUGGCUACCAUGAUGAACCUGUGACCGUUUGAAGCUGCCGGCUCAAUAGGCCCAAUGACAUCCAUGCCCCAUGCAACAAAUGGCCAAGGUGCUGACAUUGUGUGCAAUUCUGUUACAAAUCUACAGAUGAUAUGGGAAUGCACGAAAUCCACCACUGCCUUCUUGGUUACUGACUUGAAAGUCUUGUCCUCAACCCAUUUGGUGAAAUAAUCGAUGGCUACCAAGAUGAACCUGUGACUGUUUGAAGUUGUCGGUUCAAUAGGUCCAAUGACAUCCAUGCCCCAUGCCACAAAUGGGCAUGGCGCUGAUAUUGUAUGCAAUUCUAUUGGUGGGGAAUGAAUCGGAUCCCCAUGUACCUGACACUGAUGGCACUUCCGUACGAAAUUGAUACAAUCAUGCUCCAUCGUAAGCCAAUAAUAUCCUGCUCAUAAAAGCUUCUUUGCCAAUACAUAUCCGCUCAUAUGGGGCCCACAAACUCCAGCAUGUACCUCUAUCAUUAUUGUCAUGGCCUAACUAACAUCUAUACAUCUCAGCAAUCCAAAAUCUGGGGUUCUUUUGUACAACACUCCCCCACUGAGGAAAAAUCCAUCGGCCAACCACCGAAUGGCUCUCUUUUGAUCUUCGGUUUCCUGCUCUGGGUAUGUCCCCAUCCUGAGGUACUCUUUGACAUCAUAAAACUAUGGCUCACCAUCCAUUUCUUCCUCUAUCAUGUUGCAAUAAGCAUGCUGAUCACGAACCUGAAUAUGCAACGGGUCAACAUGAAUCUUGUACGGGUGGUGCAACAUUGAUGCUAAGGUGGCCAAAGCAUUAGCAACCUCAUUAUGAACUCUCGGGAUGUGUCUGAACUCCACUGAUCAAAAUCGCUUGCUAAGAUCGUGCAAGCAUUGCCAAUAUGGUAUAAGCUUUAAAUCCCGUGUUUCCCAUUCACAUUGAAUUUGAUGUACCAGAAGGUCCGAGUCUCCCAAGUCGAAGACAUCCUGAACAUCCAUAUCCGCAGCUAACCGUAAGCCCAGAAUGCAUGAUUCAUACUCAGCCAUGUUAUUGGAAUAAUAGAAACGCAGCUGAACUGUAACAUGAUAAUGAUGUCGUGUUUCAAAAAUAAGUACUGCUCCUAUUCCAACUCCUUUCACAUCCACAGUCCCAUCGAAGAAAAGCUUCAACCUUGGCUCCUCAGUAGGUUCUAACUCUUCUAUAUGCAUCACUUCUUUAUCUGGAAAAUACGUCCUCAAUGGUUUCAUAUUCUUCAUUAACAGGAUUCUCAGACAAGUGAUCGGCCAGUGCUUGGGCUUUCAUGGCCGUCCUCGUCACAUAUAUGAUGUCGAACUCUGUGAGCAAUAUCUGCCAUUUCGCCAAUCUCCCUGUGGGCAUAUGUUUCUGGAAAAUAUACUUCAGCGGAUUUAGGCGUGGAAUGAGGUAAGUAGUAUAUGACGACAGAAAAUGCUUAAACUUUUGUGCCACCCAAGUUGGGGCGUAUCAUGUCUUCUCAAGUUGAGUGUACUUAACCUUAUAGACUGUAAACUUCUUGCUUAGAUAAUAGAUGGCCUGCUCUUUUCUUCCUGUGAGAUCAUGUUGCCCCAGUACGCAACCAAAUGAAUUCUCCAGUAUUUUUAGAUAGAGAAUCAACAGUUUUCCUGGUUUAGGUGGGACCAACACGGGUGGAUUUGAUAGAUACCCCUUGAUUUGGUCGAAGGCUUCUUGACAUUCCGUUGUCCAUUCUAUCGCAUCAUCUUUCUUCAAUAGCCGAAAAAGGGUUCACAUGUCGUUGUGAGCUGAGCGAUGAACCUGCUGAUGUAGUUCAUCCUUCCCAACAGACUCAUUUCCUCUGUUUUGUUCCUUGGCGGCGGCAAUUCCUGGAUGGAUUUGAUCUUUGAUGGGUCCAACUCAAUGCCUCGCCGACUGACGAUGAAUCCCAACAACUUUCUAGAUGGAACACCAAAUGCACAUUUGGCCUGAUUGAGCUUGAUUUCGUAUCUUCGAAGUCUUUGAAAAAACUUCCUAAGGUCUGCUACAUGAUUUUCUUGACACUUGGAUUUGUUGAUCACAUCAUCUAUGUACACCUCAAUCUCUUUGUGCAUCAUGUCAUGAAACACAGUAGUCAUUUUUCUCAUGUACGUUGCUUUAGAAUUCUUCAAACCAAAUGGCAUUACUCGGUAGAAAUAAGUUCCCCACGGAGUAAUGAAAGCCGUCUUUUUUGUGUCUUCAUCAUCAUGAGGAUCUGAUGAUACCCGACAUAGCAAUCUACAAAGGAUCCGAUCUCACUCCCAGCGCAAUUAUCGAUUAAGAUAUGGAUGUUGGGUAGUGGAAAGUUGUCUUUUGGGCUUGCCGUGUUCAGAUUGUGGUACAUACCCUGGUCUUCCCAUCUUUCUUCGGUACUGGUACCACAUUGGCCAACCAAUCGGGAUAUCGAGUGACCCGAAUAACCUUUGCCUGCAACUGCUUGGUCACUUCUUCCUUAAUCUUCACACUCAUGUCUAUCUUGAACUUCCUUAAUUUCUUCUUGACGGGAGAGCAUGCCGGGUCAGUGGGUAAUUUGUGAACCACUAAAUCUAUGCUUAAACCCGACAUGUCAUCAUACGACCAUGCAAAAAUAUCUUUGAAUUCGAUGAGUGCUUUGAUUAGUUCCUCCAAGAUGUUCGGCUCAAAAUGGAUGCUGAUUUUGGUUUCCCUGACGUUGUCUGCAUCUCCUAAAUUGACACCUUCAGUGUCGUUUAAAUUAGGCUUAGGUUUUUCUUCGAAAUGACUUAAUUCUCUAUUAUCUCUUCAAAGGCCUCAUCUUCCUCGUAUUCUAAUUCAUCAUCAUAAUUGACCUCUUGUGCAAUUAAUUUGGAGUCAGAUUGAUUAUUUAGACUAGGUUGAAGAUCCGUUGUGCAUGCCACGUCAUUGGGACCAGUAAAAAGAGAACUGUUCAGAAAGAAAAAGAAGAAACAAAAUUAAAACAAAAUAAGAAAAGGAAAAUUUCGCUUUUUAUUAAAAUAUGGGAUAACAGAGUUUCAAACUUUUACUGAAUACAAAUAAAACAAAAACGGGAUUACAACUCUCGAAUAAUCCAGGAAACAAGAAAGAAAAUCCAGAGCCUACUACCAAGACUCCCUCCGGGUAGGAAGAUGAGUAUCCGUCCAAUUGUUGACAUUGGCCCUGGGUCCCACAUAUUGUAUGUCUGCUCUAUUGGAACCCUCUCAAGCUUCGGUCAUGUUGACAUCAGCAAACAGUCUUUCAAAACCCUGAUCUAGAUCUCCAUCUGACCCAAUCAACGGUCCAAGAACCUUUGGGACUGACAAUCUUUCAACACCUGCUUUAACGAAAGAUCGGGAGAGACGCAGAACUGGUUUGGGAAGAACCCAAACUUUCUUCUUCAUUUUCCGAGCUCAUUUCACAUCCGCUGCCGUCGGCUUGAAACCUAACCAGAAGGUCUCUAAAUUCUUGGGCAAAGAGACAAGUUCAACGAUACCCUGAAGCUCAGCCCCUAGACCUUUUCCCUUUACAAACCCGCAGGUUAGCAUUUCCGAGGCUACCAUGAAGGUCACAGCUGUGAUCCUGGGAAGUGUAAUGUUCUCAGCUUCAGAAAUCUUGUCCACUGACACCCCGUCAAAAACCUGAUACACCCAUGGCCCUUUAUCAUCAUCGGUUUCUAUGAAUGGUACAAACUCACAACCCACAAUGCUUGUACCGUCAUCCCCGUACAUCACUAUCUCCUGCCUGUCCCACUCAAACUUCACCAUUUGGUGCAAUGUAAAAGGCACUGCUUUGGCGACAUGUAUCCAAGGUCACCCCAACAGGAGAUUGUAUGAUACCGCCACGUCUACCACUUGGAAUUCCAUGGUGAAUUCCACUGGACAAUUGGUUAAUUCCAGUAUGAUAUUACCCACUGUGUUGGUACCACCUCCAUCAAAACCUCAAAUGCAGACAUUGUUCUUGUGAACCCGGUCAUGAUCAAUUUUCAGUUUUUUUAGAGUAGACAAAGUACAAAUGUUGGAACUUGACUCUUUAUCAACCAAUACUCGGGUGACCACCGAGUCUUCACAUUUCACAGUCAAGUAUAAGGCUUUAUUAUGUUCCGUACCUUCCUUUGGCAAUUCAUCAUCGGAGAAUGUCACUCGGUUUAACUCAAUGAUUUUGUGCACUAUCUUCUCCGAGUGAUUUACAGAGAGCUUAUCUAGAACCUGAGCCUCGUUCAGGAUAUUCAUUAGGGCCCGACAAUGAUCAUUUUGGCAAUUCAUCAUCGGAAAAUGUCACUCGGUUUACCUCAAAGAUUUUGUGCACUAUGUUCUCCAAGUGAUUUACAGAGAGUUUAUCUGGAACUGAGCCUCGUUCAGGAUCUUCAUUAGGGCCCGACAAUGAUCACUGGAAUGAAUCAACAAUGAUAGCUAUGAAAUUUGUGCUGGAGUCUUUCGUAACUGCUCCAUAAUGGAGUAGACUUGGGCCUUCAUUUUCUUCAAAAACUCCUCAGCCUCUUCCUCCGUUACGGGCAUCUUCACCACUCCUGGGUUGGACCUCCUCAACUCUACGUGAGCAAAACACCGUCCCGAUCGAGUCAGUCCCUGUGCCUCGCAACUAUCCUCCUCCAUUGGAUUUCCCUUGUACAUCACCAUUGCCUUUUCACAUUUCCAAGGCACGGCCUUGCUAUUAAUCACUGGCAACUGGACUACUGGAUUUAUGAUGACCGGUUUCCUGGAGGCCCCUUUCACAACAACCACAGGGGUGGACGACGCUUCUGAUAUCACUAAUUUGGUUGUCUCUGGCUUUUUUAUAGUGACGGAUGGACUCUUCCCUAAUAUCACCACCGCUUUGACAUCUUCCCUCUUGACAUGUACCUCUGCUCCCCCACUGGUUGAAUUUUCUUUUGGAGUGGCACGGAUCAUCAUCACUGUCUGUGAUGACUUCUUGGGCUCUCCCUCUUCGUGCACAAGUUUAAUCAUGUGGGCUUCGUGGUGUGCUGGCAAUGGGUUUUGGUUAAUGUUAGGUGCUUCUAGUGCCUGAACCCUGAUCUUGUUGGUGUCAAUAAGAUCUUGUAUCGCACACUUUAGUUUCCAACACUUCUCGAUAUCAUGUCCGGGAACUCCUGAACAAUAUUCACAACUUACCGAGCGGUCCAAAUUUUGGGGUAGAGGAUUUGGCAAUCUGGGCUCAAUAGGACUCAACAAACCAAACUUUUUUAAUUUAUGGAAUAAAGUAGUAUAGGUUUCUCCUAAUUUAGUGAAUGUUCUUUGUUUCUGAACCCUUUCAUUUCUGAAAGCUUGAUUCCCUCGAAAACCUGGUCCUGCAGGAUUCCUGUAGGACUUUGGUGGUGGGUAGGUGUUUGGUUGAGGUGAGUAGGUAUUAUGUGGAGCUGGCGCGCGCCAUUGCGGGCGAGCCAGAAGUUGGGUAUAUGCCUGGGCUUGAUGAACGGAAAAAUGUUGUUCUUGUGGUGGGUAAUAGAGUUGUGGAGGAUAAUUUGGAAUGUGUGAGUAAUUUGGGUGAGGGGUAUGGAUUGAUAACGAGGGGAAGGACCUCUAGAUCUAGACCAGUUACCUGCCUCUAUUGUCGCGACCUCUUCUCACUUUUUCUUUCCGAGUGCACCUCCCGUGCCGCUUUGAAUGGCCUGAGUUGUUGCCUUGAUUACCGAGAACUCAAUAUUUUAUCGGACUUGAGUCCCUCUUCUAUCAUGCUUCCCAUUUUCACCACCUCAUUAAUGGAUUUGCCAACUGACGUCACAAAGUGACCGAAGUAAGUUGGCUCAAGAGUUUGUAGAAAGUAAUCCACCAUCUCCCCCUCUCUCAUUGGAGGAUCAACUCUAGCUGCCUGUUCUCUCCACCGGAAUCCAAAUUAUUGAAAGCUCUCACCGGGUUUCUUCUCAAGUUUUAGCAAAGUGAGACGGUCUGGGACUAUCUCAAGAUUGUACUAGAAGUGUCCGGCGAAAGCCUGCGCCAGAUCAUCCCAGGUGUACCAUCUGCUUGGAUCUUGCCUUGUAUACCACUCUAGAGCAGAUCCACUCAAACUCUGGUCGAAGUAAGCUAUCAGUAGCUCAUCUUUGCCUCUUUCUCCUCUCAUCUUGUUAUAAAAACCCCGCAAAUGAGCCAUAGGAUUGCCAUGCCCUUUGUAUAAAUCAAACUUGGGCAUCUUGAACCCCGCACAGACCCACUCAAACUCUGGCCGAAGUAAGCUAUCAGUAGCUCAUCUUUGCCUACUGCUCCUCUCAUCUUGCUACAAAAACCCCACAAAUUAGCCAUAGGAUCGCCAUGCCCUUCGUAUAAGUCGAACUUGGGCAUCUUGAACCCCGCCGGUAAUUAGAUGUCAGGGAAAGGGCAUAGAUCAUUGUAGGGUACGCUGACCUGGUUGCCUAACCCAUGCAUGUUCCUGAAGGACUGCUCCAGGCUUUUAAACUUCCGCAUUACCUCAUCCUGCUCUAGGCUCUUAGCCAGCUUUUCAGUCUCCGCCGGGACCUCAAAGUGGGUACUAUAGGUAUUGUAGAGAUUUUAUCCCCAUGUUCCUGAAGGACUGCUCCAGGCUUUUAAACUUCAGCAUUACCUCGUGCUGCUCUGGGCUUUUAGCCGGCUUUUCAGUCUCCGUCGGGACCUCAAAGUGUGGAUUAUAGGUAGGUGGCUCGGGCGCUUUGAAUGUGAGUUCAGGGGGGGUAAUAUUGUGCAUCGUGAGCUUGAUAUAAUGGCUCACUAGAUGAUCUGUGCAAUGGGGCCGGGGGAGAUGCCACAAAGAUAGGGACAUUUGGUGGGGGAGGGUUUUAAUUGGGUGGUGGAGCUUGUGGGUCAUAUGUAUCCCUUCCCUGAUAGUAGUGAUGACUUGGAAUGUUUGUUGAGAGACCAGAUGAAGGGUAUUCUGGUGUAUGUCCUGGUUGGCUAGUAGGAGUAAUGGGUAUUUUAGGCCCCUUUUGUGCUUUAGCCAAGGCCAACUGCAUCUCAUUCAUUUCCAGCUUCAUCUUUUCCAUUUAAUCCAUGACAUCAUUCAGCAUUUGACUCAUCAUUUUUUCCGACUUAACACUAUUGUCCGACCCAGUCAUGCUUUUUGGUAUGGGACCUUUUGAUCUUGUCUGAUAAUGGCGCGAUGCCAGUACGCUCUAACAAACUAACUGGAUUAAUUGAUUGGAAAAACAACAAACUUGUUAGCGUUAGAGUUUCAACAGAUAUCGCAAGUGUACAUUGGGGAUGCAAUGUCUUUAGGCAGUAAACCAUUUCUAAUAUGCUUUUUCUCAGACCGCAUGCAUCAUCCCGACUUUUUUUAUUUGUGCCAUUUUCAAGCGUUUCAAACCCUCCAUUCUUCUCUCUCUUUCUUUUCCUCUCAUACUUUCUUUUAUCACUUUCUCUUUUUUACGAUUAGCAGAGGUCGAAUCUUAUGUAGAUUGCCUACGUAUCAUGUCCUCGCAUGAAUCAGACCCAGUGUAGUUCAUGAAAAUGAAUGCGAAAAUAAAAUGAAAACAAUUUUUGGGAAUUUUCAAAUUUUCAUUACUACCACAAUUUAAACAUUUUGGAAAGGAAAUGACAGACACAAAAUAAGACCAAAUACCAACUUCAAACUACAGACUUAUUUUGACAUGGACAAACAGCCUUGAAAUAGAAAAAGAUACAGACACCGUCUACACAUACUUUAAUAACUCAAACCUAGGUGUCCGCGGGGCGUCAUUCGGCCUCGACGUGGACCUGGGUUCCAAAUUGUGUUCAAGCUGCUCUAAUUCAAGCAAAGUUUGUUUGACCAAGAUUACUACAGUUGGGACAAAGAUAGUAACAGUCAUAUCUUCACACACCCGACAUCUUCUCAAAAUGGCAUGAGCAAUGGCUCUGAUCCUGUCUUUGGCUCGCUUCUUUUCUAUGAGAAGACGUCUUAUCUAGUUACUGCAUGUUUUUAUGGCCUGGAAUCUUGCAGGUGUUGAUCCUGCAAUUGUUGCACUUCCGCCUCCAUUUUGGCCAAUAAGUCAUAACAAUGCCCACUUUACACGUCAAAGUCUUUGGCCUACUCGACCAUUUUUCCUUCGAGGGUGACCAAUUUUCUUUUCAAAUCGGCCACAAUCUUCUCAUGAUCCCAUUUCAGUUGGUUCAAAUACUGGCGACACUCUUCUGUCUUGGUAUCCCAUUGUGCCUUGAACUUUGCCAUGACGUUCUUAGAUCUUUCCAAUUCUCCCCGACACCCGUUGACCUCAUUUCCAAGUUCUUUAUGCAUCUCUCAUCUGACAUACUUCUUUGUUGAUUAUUGGCAGGUACCUUCAUUUGCUGUAUUUGAUCCUUGAGCAUCUCAUUUCUCGGGCCAGCCGAUUCUUUUCACUUUGGUCCGCCGCAGCUUGCACACUGUUCUCGAAGAUCAAACUCGCAAUUUGUUGCUUCAAUUUACCAAUUUCAGCCCGAUUGUUUCUUCCUUUGCCAACCGGCCCUAUUGUUCUUGUGAGUCAUUCGUAAAUUGCUGAACAUGGGCUCUUUUGGCAGGUCUCUAAUUCUUGAACCUUUUUCCAAACCAAGCAUUGUACUUCGGAUCUACUUCUCCUUUAGCUCGUUCUCGAACUAUGGGUUUUUAUUCAAGAAAUUUACACCCAUUCCAUAACUUUCAAACUUCCUUUUCGGGAAAUGAGGCUCUUGGACUUAUCUCAAUAGCAUGCUUGCUUAUAUCCAUGUCGGUGGGGAUUGUCUGAAACUUUCCCAGCUGGCGCAAUACUCUAUGAGGAACAUAGGGCUAGAUACUGCAAACUCCCAUCAAAAGAAUAUAACAUUCUUCGGUCGCCAUAUGUAUUACCUCGGAAUCAGGAAACCAUCCAAAUGCCCAUUCAAAUUGAUUAUCCAUCACUGACCUCAAUCGUGCAAACCACGCCUCGACAUCUUCAGGGAAUUCAACGCCUGCUACCCGCUUCUCAAAACCACUGAUGCAGUUUCUUCCAAUUAGCCCAUGAUUCAUGUAUCCCACCCGAUGACAGAGAUGUUCCUGUAUCCAUAGCUGGAGUAAAAGAUUACAACCCUGGAAAAAAUCACCACCCUCUCGACACACAGCUAAGGCUCAGUAUAUUUCACAUAACACCAAAGGGACCACAAUACUGUUAGGCAUUUUGAUUGUAACGUCGGCCAUCCCUACAAGGCCUAUCUCUAUUUUCUUAUCUUUGCGAGGACAAACCACGACUCACAGGAACACCGUCAGGAAUGCCAAAGUACAUUUUGCCUCCCAUUUGUUUCUGUCCCCAUUAUGAGUUAAUCCGAGAUUUGGUUCUUUUAAACCGUGAGGAGUACCAUACCGUUGAUAUAAGAAUUGAAGAUCACAAUAGCCUUUUGACAGAUCGUCAUUUUGCACCUUUCGACUAAUGUUUAACAAAUUCAAAAAUCUGUGCGGAGACAUCGGUCUAGGUGAAAGCAAAUAUUGUCCCCUUAAUUCUGCAUCCAAACCUGCAUAACCCGCAACCUCUUCUAAUGUAGGUGUAAGCUCAAAGUCUAUAAAUCAGAAUACGUUAAAGUUUGGAUCCCAGAAUGGUAUCAAAGCUUCGAUGAUGUCCGUCCUUGGCUUGAUAUCCAACAGAUCGAUGAGACCUCCCAAAAUUCUUCCCACUAUCUUUUUACUUUCAUCUCCUAAAUCAUUCCACCACAUGUGGAGUUGCAGAGGUACCUCGCUAAAGACUGAGACUGGUUCAACUUGAUUUGUGCUCAUUCUGCACAUUUAUUAUGGUGAUUAAGCAAAAGAAAAACUUUUAUUUUACUCAAAAUAAAACUAUCUAUAUUUUCUCCAAGUUAAUUUUUUUUAUUUUCAAAAUACUUGUUUACAACUCUAGAACUUAGACAUAUUACAUAACGGGACGUACACAUUUCUACAGAUAAACAGACACAAAACACUGAUAUUUUUUUUUAAAAAAAACAUCCUAACUACUUGAUCCUAGAAGGACCUUCCCCAGAUUCGGUAUUCUUGCUUACUUCAUACAGUUGUAUCAACUCGUGUAACCCUAGUAGCAAGUAAUCUCGGGCCAGAGGUCCACGCUUAUUGUCCUUGGCAUUCUGACAUUUGUCAAUUUUCUUUAGGAACUUAUCCCCUAGUUCUACUAUGCCUCAUUUCAAAUACCCUAAUCGGUGAUUGGCUUUGAUGGCCAUAGCCUUCCAUGCAUUGAUCAGCCUUUCAUGGGCUUCCACUAUCUCAUGCUGUUCCUUCUCACAUUCGCGCAUUCUUUCGAGCAAUCAUUCAUAUCCAACACUUGUUGCGGCUUCACCAUUGAUAAACCCCUACCUACGGCGAAAUCCAGGGCGAAACGGACCCAUGUGGUCAUUCUCUAACCAACCUACGUAGUGUGGCACACAUCCUGCCUGGUACCCAUUUGGUUCGAGGGAUUCUUCUCUUAGGACGACCCUUCAAUACCAUAUUCGCUGAGCUUAACACCAGUAUGGGCUGGCGUUAACCCCGAAAUGGCUCAUUUUACAAACCCUUCUGCUUCCUCACUGCUUGCCUCAUGGCUCGAAGAGGGACGUAAGGGUAUCUCGAGAUUGGAUAAUAAAUUCCCAUGUUGGGAACCACUCGAGCAUGCACUACACCCGUUCUUCUCUCAGAUUUUCAAACAACUCCACCCAUUCACUGGCGUUUCUCGGCUGGGCAAUCACAUUGGGCAUUCGGUUUGGAUGGUGAAAGGCAAUGCGUACAUCCCACUCUCUUUGUAUGAUAUCUUGCCUAUAGUCACCCUUUUGCAAGUGUUCUAACAACCAAGGUUGAAAAAUAUGUUACACCCUUCAAAGUAUGUGGCCCCUCGUUGACAUUUUUCUAAGGCUCGGUAUAUAUCGGCGAUGACCAUGGCCACUAUACUGAAAUUCUGCCCGUCAAUGCCUUCCACUAAGGCCUUGGUUACCGCGGCUAGUCUGGUGUGGACCCUAACCUUCUUCAUGGGGAACACUAUCAUGCCCAGGAAACAGAGUGUGAAAGCAAAAGCCCUCAUGUCUGCAUGCUCUUGAGAUGUGAUGGUAAAUUCUUCGGAGUAAGCAUGGUAGGACCCGCUAUGGUCGAACCUUUCAUAUAAGAAGUCGAAAGGUACGUAGGAAUCCUUUGACAGGUAAGUUUAGGGUUCUUCUUGAGCCCCAAUAUUCUGAGGAAACCUCUGCCAUUGCGAUUUUCUGGCAUAAGUAGGCCCGAAGUCUGCCAUAGAAUCCCAGCUAUACCUCCUAUCUCUUCUAGUAGCGUAGUCAUUUCGAGAUCCCCGAAACGAAAAACAGCUCGGUCGCAGUCCCAGAAUAAAGUAACGACCUUAAUGAUUCUGUUGUCUGGCCGGACUUUCAGAAGCGAAGGGAGAUCCCCUAGCUGCCCGCAGACGAAGGCAUGGUCACCAUCAUGGAGAUUCUCCCACCAGCUUACCAUCCUUGGGUGAAUGUUGGAUACCAUACCGAAUCUUGGGAUUUCGAGAUUCAUUCUGUACAUUUGUUGAAGUGGUUUUAAGCAAAGGCGAGCUAUACUGGACUCAAAAUGGACCUAAAAUUUUCAAAAUUCAAAUAAAACAAAAGACUCAACUUGAACACGGCCUUUCAACGCCUCGUGGGCGGAGAAUUUUCAAGGCUUUGCCGACUAAAAUUCUUAAAGGCGGCCGUUCAUACCAAGUUAGCCUUUCGGCAUCCCAUUCAUGAACAUUCGGCUAUUAUGAUAAAACAGCGUCACCUAACGUACGCAGAAAAUUAUUUUUCAAAAACACAAUCCGCCAUUGCGGUUAUGGCCUUUUAGAGCCUCGAGGACGAGGGUUUAAGGCUGCAGGGGCUAAUUUGGUAAAAAAUCCAAUAACGACCAAAAGUGGCUAUUUGCGUAAAAUUAGCCUUCCGGCGCCCCUUUAGGGAACAUUCAGCUAUAUUCGACAAACAGUCUAGCCUGACUCUAAAAAUCAACAUGUUUUGGUUAUUUUUUGUAAAAGGACAGUUGGACCCUAUGAGGGUUGCCUACGUAUCUCACCCCUUGUGAGAAUCAAACUGACGUAGUUGGGGGAAAUAAACUAACUAAAAUUUUAAAACGAAAUUCUUUUUUCAAGCCUUUCCAUUUUUGAAAUCCCUUUUUUUCCAACAAUUUUCCAAGACUCUUUUUCGAUUUUACAUAUAAAUUAUUUUUCUUCUUUUUUAAAACUAAUCAGUUAACUCUCUGACUCAUUCCAUUUUUUUCUCAUUUUCUAACUUUUCCGAGAUUUAGAAAGCCGGUCCACAUGCAGGUCAAAACAAAUAGAUGCACAAAAAACAAGUAGGAUGUGUCAGGAUGGUCUUCUCCAUUUCAGGUUGCUAAUCCUAAACGGAUCCAACCCCUGUGUUGAGUCCCCUAAGUCAAUAUGCACGUGAUGCAGAUAAGAAUUUCUACUAAGGAUCCGGCAUGAAGUUGAGUUAUUCUAGGUUCAAAACCUGGGUGUUUGUUCUAGACAUGGAUUACCCGAGCGGACAACUCGAGCCGAGGAGGAGGCGGCAAUCCGGGAAUACAGAAGCUUCACCGGCUUUGCGACUUAUCCAAACCUCGUUCUAAAUUGGGAUUUGACACUAGACAGAAAAGAAGUCGUACACUAUACAACCUUCUUCACAAUUCAGAAAACUCAUAUAGGAGAUUUGGUUAGGCACAGUUUAUAUAUAGUUCAUGUAAUAUCAAAGCGGUAAAAGCAAUCAAUUAUCACAUUAAGCACAUAUCAUGUAACAUAAUCAAAUAAAGCCAAACACAACAAUUAUUUUAAGCUCAAAUUCUGAACACGUACACCCUUAUUCAAAAUUCAGAAGACUCAGAGAGGAGAUUUGGUUCGGCACAGUUUAUAUACAAUUCACGUAAUAUCAAAGCGGUAAAAGCAAUCAAUUAACACAUCAUGUAACAAAAUCAGAUAAAGUCAAACACAACAAAUAUUCUAAGCUCGAAUUCUGAACCCUGAGCCAUAGAUUCUGGGUUCGAUCCCCAGCAGAGUCGCCAGAGCUGUCACACCUCCUUUUUCACUAUACACCCCUGCAAAAGGGGCGUAAAGGUGUUUUUUCAAUAAAGGACAAGCGGAACGAGAUUUGGUUAUUAAAGAUUCAGAGUCGUCACUUGGGAUAUGAAUGGUGUCCCAAGUCACCGACUGAAUCCUGAACCGAGGAAAAUAUGACUCUGUUACAGUCUGCAAACAAGAAAUCCGGAUAAGGAAUUCUGUUAACCCGGGAGAAGGUGUUAGGCAUUCUCGGGUUCCGUGGUUCUAGCUUGACUCUGUAAUACAGUCUGCGAGCCAGAAAUCCAGGUAUUGAAUUCUGUUAACCCGGGAGAAGGUGUUUGUCAUUCUUGAGUUCCGAGGUUCUAGCACGGUCGCUCAACUGUUGCAUUUAGCAAUUAUCGGAUUUAUUACAUGAAGAGCCUAUGUGUCAAUUUUUACUUUUUACCGCUUUUAUUUAAUAAGAUAUUUCUUAAAGCAAGUGAACGUCGUUUAAAAUGUGUUUUUGGAUUGCGCCGCAUCAAAUGAACCCCCAAUCCUAGACACACUCUAUUCAACGUUUUAGGAUUUAAAUUUGGGCCGCAUAAAAUGCCCACCCAUAUUUAGGAAGGUAAGAUUAUUAAAAUACGCACUUAAAGAGUCUAGUGCAUUAUUAUCUUUUGGGAGGGUCGUGAAAUUCGCUAAACGACCCUUCCCGAAUUUUCUAAAUAUUUUAAGCCUUUAUUGAGGGCCCUGAAAUUUGCAUUUAAUUGGGAGAAGAUCGUCUCAUUUUUAUAAAGUGAUUACAUUUCUGUUUGAAUUCGUUUCUGAAGUAAAGAAAGAAAAGUCCUAAUUUAUUUACAUGCUUGGCGAGGCCAAAGCUUAUUUAUCGGAUGAAGACAAAUGCAAACGAAAAUUGCAAUAGAGCUUGCGCAAAGAGAGAUUAUUUCGUACCUUAUUCUAUAAGCGAAUAUCAUUAAAAUUGGAGUUAUAAACAGAAUAUGGAAUUGAAAAAUAAUAUUUAUCAAAACAAACUAAUUAUUCUCUAGUUAGUCUAAAUUACCAUCAUUGGAUGCAUUGGGCUAUUUGGAAUUAACCACAUGAUUUUAGAACAGUUUGGGCCUAGUGAUACUUAAAGCAAUAAUGGCGUUGGACCCAUAAUAGGCCCGCUUCUACUUAAAGCAAUAAUGUCGUUUGACCCAUAAUUGGCCCGCUUGUACUAUCCAGAUUGUCCAGGCAUAACUAUCAGAUAGAUUGAAAUUUGUUUACCUAUUUUAAGCUCAAAUUAAUAUCAGCACACGAACUCUUUAAUAACUUAAUAAACUAACAAAUUUCAAGGCGAGUUGUAAUUAAAUUUAAAGGAUCCCAACCUGUCUUAUUUUACCAAACCAUAACUAUUUCUGAUUAACAUGCUACUAUUAAAUUUUUGAUUCCACGAGCUAACAUUACUAGGCAUAAUACUCAUAAUUAACUUUAAUGAUUCAUAAACUUAUAACUAAUUUCAGAAUACUAGAACUAACAUGAAGAAGACAAACUAAACGGAGGCUAACAUUAUCAAUUCAUUAUAGCCCCAAACAAACAAGGAUUUGAACUACACUAUACCAUACUAAUAUUGAGAAAUAGAUGAACAAUUCUAAGUUUAAAAGUCCAGACGAUCCAGAUUAAUCUAAUUAUACAGUCUAGGGAUUAUGUAAAUACAAAUCGAAAUUAACUUACAAAAAUGCAUAUCAAUUACUAUCUACUCAGAUACUGCUACAUAACAGUUUCAAACAAACACAUUUCAAGAAGCAAACGGACGAACACUUUAUUUCAUCUUUUCACCUCAAAGCUACAUCAAAUCAGGUUCGAAUGUGUAUCUGGAUGAUAGAAACAGAAGAAAAAGGAACGAUCAGCAAUAACAGUAACUAAUGCAGCAACAGCAAGACAAUAACAACCAACAACUUGAAAAUGACCCGAGAUAGCAGCAGAAGGACCAAAAUGUGGCCCAGGAAUGAAAUAGAAAAGUAAACUUAACCCACAGCAAAUACCAGUAGCCAAACACACAGGUAGCACCUUAAGAAAAUAGUAAAACUUCCAGAAAUACCAACAGUAACACAAACACCCGUAAUAAGACCAAAGAACUUGAGUUUAAACCAGAGAUAGACCAAUAGACUUCAGCAGUAUAUUCAGCAAGCAAUAGGAAGUAGGAAUCAAUGUUUACGACUCCAAAUUCAGUUUCCCCCUUUUUUCCAACUCUUAUGUUCUUUUUAAAUGGAUUCCUUUUUUUCUUAACUCUCAAUUUUCAGAUUGUUCCCCCCUUUCAAAACUAAAACUGAUCUUUUAUACUAAAACUUAAACCCCGUUUUAGUACCUAAGUGGACAACCCACUAAUAUUUUUUAAUUCCUUAGUGUCCUCUCCACUAGAUCUUGUUAUUAACUUUAUUCAAUCCCUUUUCUUAGUGCACAUUUCAACCCCCUUAAAUCACUCCUGGAUCCCCAUUAUUCAAUACUUUAGAGAUAUUUAACUACCCGACUAUCAGAUUCACUAACAUUAAACAAAUCCUUCACUGUUUUGUUCCUAAAUCACCCCUGAAAUCCCUUGAAACUACUGCCUUAGCCCAAUCUGUUCAAACUUAAUAAUUAUCUAAAACUAAUUUAAUUAACAGCUAUAACAAAUUCUUAAACGAUUUCUGAUUCAACUUAAACUAAAAGAAUCUGAAAUUAAAACUCAACCAGGCUACAUCUAAAUCACAACCUAUCACAUUAAAUUAUCAAAGCCAUGAUUGACAGAACUACAAGGAGCAAAAAUCCAAAAUAUGAACAAAAUAUAAUACAAAUAUACUAGAAUAGCCAUAAUUCAUACAAUUACUAUUACUACUGUCAGGGUUUGAAUCAUUCACAUCUAAAAGACUAAUUGACAAUAUUUAAUUAAUCGAUCACACAUAAUUGGUAACACAUAAGCAGAAUCAAAGAUACAAACAUGCACACGUUAUUUCAGUGACAUUUGGCAGAAACAGUGAGUUGUGACACAAAUAACUGAUCGGCGACAUUAAUAGUAUCGACUUUAUGAUCUUACAACAACACACAAUCAGAUAGCAAGCAAAUAGAAUAAAAAUAGGAUAAUUGGGUGAUUCAUGUGGUUUUGGAUAGAAUAAGGCACUUAUGAGACUUAACUGUUCAACGACAUUAUUCAUCGAACGCAUAGUUUAUCAUACAUACUUUAACAAUGAUCAGAAGAAAAUUUUGACCAAAUAAAAGGUCAUACGGAGAAGAAACAGAAAAGCAGUCGAUAAAAUAAAAAAUAAUACAACUAAACUAAACAAAUAUUUACAACAAAUAACAACAAAGAAAAUAGAAAAAGAAAAUAGAAAAAGAAAAUACCUCAGAAACUUUCAGAAACAAACAACCUUGGCUUGAAUCCAAACUCGAACUAUUUGAGGUUGUACGGACCUUAAUCGGGGUGUUCUCAAUUGAGAGCACCUAGAUUAAGGUCUAUUAGACCUCAAUCUCCUAUUGAUUUUUAACCGAACCUCAAUUUUGGAUUUCUAGGGUUCACGCGGAUGAUUUGGGAAUUUGGGUUUUCUGGUUGGAUUCGAUUCAAAUCAAUGAUGAUUUGGUGAUUAGGAAGGUUAGGGGGUGCCGUGGUGUGAAUUUGGAAAGGAUUGGGGGUAAGUUUCCAUUUGGCUCGAAUCUUCAAGUAAAGAUUUGAGAUGCUCUGAAAAGAUUCGAGCAAAAUGGUUUGCAGCUCCAUGUUUGGGGUGGCUAGACGGUCACAGGGUGUUAGUUUGGGAUUCAUUGGUCUGGGUCUGGUUUUGACUCAGAUCUUCAAAUAAAGAUUCGAGAUAUUUGGGGAGGAUUCGAAGAGAAAGGGUUAUGAAUUCAUGGAGGGGAUGGUCUGGGGAUUCAGGUGUGUUAAUUUGGAGGUGGACGGAGUUCAGACCGCCGGGAUUAAUGGUGGAGUAUAAGGGGGAGGUGCUAAGGUUUACUGAGGGAGGGGUCUGUCUCUGAGAGAGACGAUGAACAGGGAGGUCCGGUU